ACGGGAGGCAGCAGUGGGGAAUAUUGGGCAAUGGGCGAAAGCCUGACCCAGCGACGCCGCGUGAGGGAAGAAGGUCUUCGGAUUGUAAACCUCUUUUAUCAGGGACGAAAUUUGACGGUACCUGUUGAAUAAGCCACGGCUAACUACGUGCCAGCAGCCGCGGUAAUACGUAGGUGGCGAGCGUUAUCCGGAUUUACUGGGUGUAAAGGGUGUGUAGGCGGGAUGGCAAUUCAGAUGUGAAAACUAUGGGCUCAACUCAUAGCCUGCAUUUGGAACUGUCGUUCUUGAGGGUCGGAGUGGUUACUGGAAUUCCCGAUGUAGCGGUGAAAUGCGUAGAUAUCGGGAGGAACACCAGUGGCGAAGGCGAGUAACUGGACGACAACUGACGCUGAGACACGAAAGCGUAGGGAGCAAACAG
Molecule: ribosomal RNA, 418 nt
Rfam family: Bacterial small subunit ribosomal RNA